CCCUACAUCCUCCCACAACAGAGAGAGAAGGUUCUGUUAGUGUUCCCUACAUCCUCCCACAACAGAGAGAGAAGGUUCUGUUAGUGUUCCCUACAUCCUCCCACAACAGAGAGAGAGAAGGUUCUGUUAGUGUUCCCUACAUCCUCCCACAACAGAGAGAGAGAAGGUUCUGUUAGUGUUCCCUACAUCCUCCCACAACAGAGAGAGAGAGAAGGUUCUGUUAGUGUUCCCUACAUCCUCCCACAACAGAGAGAGAAGGUUCUGUUAGUGUUCCCUACAUCCUCCCACAACAGAGAGAGAAGGUUCUGUUAGUGUUCCCUAUAUCCUCCCACAACAGAGAGAGAAGGUUCUGUUAGUGUUCCCUACAUCCUCCCACAACAGAGAGAGAGAGAAGGUUCUGUUAGAGUUCCCUACAUCCUCCCACAACAGAGAGAGAAGGUUCUGUUAGAGUUCCCUACAUCCUCCCACAACAGAGAGAGAAGGUUCUGUUGUUGUUCCCUACAUCCUCCCACAACAGAGAGAGAGAAGGUUCUGUUAGUGUUCCCUACAUCCUCCCACAACAGAGAGAGAGAGAAAGUUCUGUUAGUGUUCCCUACAUCCUCCCACAACAGAGAGAGAAGGUUCUGUUAGAGUUCCCUUCAUCCUCCCACAACAGAGAGAGAAGGUUCUGUUAGUGUUCCCUACAUCCUCCCACAACAGAGAGAGAAGGUUCUGUUAGAGUUCCCUACAUCCUCCCACAACAGAGAGAGAGAAGGUUCUGUUAGUGUUCCCUACAUCCUCCCACAACAGAGAGAGAAGGUUCUGUUAGAGUUCCCUACAUCCUCCCACAACAGAGAGAGAAGGUUCUGUUAGAGUUCCCUACAUCCUCCCACAACAGAGAGAGAGAAGGUUCUGUUAGUGUUCCCUACAUCCUCCCACAACAGAGAGAGAAGGUUCUGUUAGUGUUCCCUACAUCCUCCCACAACAGAGAGAGAG
RNAcentral lists this long non-coding RNA (975 nucleotides) under Salmo salar (Atlantic salmon). RNAcentral describes it as "lncRNA (ENSSSAG00000083982.1)". Lineage: Eukaryota; Metazoa; Chordata; Actinopteri; Salmoniformes; Salmonidae. The record is from RNAcentral.